AUUGAACGCUAGCGGCAGGCCUAACACAUGCAAGUCGAACGAGUGGCGGACGGGUGAGUAAUAUCUGGGAAACUGCCCGAUGGCGGGGGAUAACUACUGGAAACGGUAGCUAAUACCGCAUACCAUCGGAUCGGCCGAGAUGGGAUUAGCUAGUAGGUGGGGUAACGGCUCACCAAGGCAACGAUCCCUAGCUGGUCUGAGAGGACGACAAGCCACACUGGAACUGAGAAACGGCCCAGACUCCUACGGGAGGCAGCAGUGGGGAAUAUUGGACAAUGGGCGAAAGCCUGAUGCAGCCAUGCCGCGUGUAUGAAGAAGGCCUUCGGGUUGUAAAGUACUUUUAGCGAGGAGGCGGUAUCUGCAGAAUAAGCACCGGCUAACUCCGUGCCAGCAGCCGCGGUAAUAC
This 406-nucleotide ribosomal RNA is filed under the name uncultured bacterium. RNAcentral describes it as "partial 16S ribosomal RNA". It matches the Rfam family "Bacterial small subunit ribosomal RNA", at positions 30 to 526 of the family's 1533-position model. The record is from RNAcentral.